UACGAGUGCCUCGAGCGUUAUCCGGAAUCAUUGGGCGUAAAGGGUGUGCAGGCGGUCUUGUUAGUCUUUUGUUAAAUUCUUCGGCUUAACCGGGGACGUGCAAAGGAAACGGCAAGACUAGAGGAUGCGAGAGGUUAACGGAACUCAUAGUGUAGCGGUGAAAUGCGUUGAUAUUAUGGGGAACACCAAAUGCGAAGGCAGUUAACUGGAGCACUCCUGACGCUGAGACACGAAAGCGUGGGUAG
This 245-nucleotide ribosomal RNA is filed under the name uncultured bacterium. RNAcentral's name for it is "partial 16S ribosomal RNA". It matches the Rfam family "Bacterial small subunit ribosomal RNA", at positions 524 to 768 of the family's 1533-position model. The record is from RNAcentral.